CCUUGUACACACCGCCCGUCAAGCCAUGGAAGCCGGGAGUACCCUAAGUCAUUUAUCUAACCCGCAAGGGAGGAUGAUGCCCAAGGUAAGACCGGUGACUGGGGCU
RNAcentral lists this ribosomal RNA (106 nucleotides) under uncultured bacterium. RNAcentral's name for it is "partial 16S ribosomal RNA". It matches the Rfam family "Bacterial small subunit ribosomal RNA", at positions 1379 to 1482 of the family's 1533-position model. The record is from RNAcentral.